UAAGAGGUCCAGCCUGCCCUGUGACUAUAUGUUUAACGGCCGCGGUAUUUUAACCGUGCGAAGGUAGCGCAAUCACUUGUCUUUUAAAUGGAGACCUGUAUGAAUGGCAUAACGAGGGCUUAACUGUCUCCUUUUUCAAGUCAAUGAAAUUGAUCUCUCCGUGCAGAAGCGGAGAUAUACCCAUAAGACGAGAAGACCCUGUGGAGCUUUAGACACUAAGGCAUAUCAUGCUAAAUACCCCCUGGUUAAAGGACCAAGCUAAGUGAACCCAUGCCCGCAUGUCUUUGGUUGGGGUGACCGAGGGGAAAUAAAAAACCCCCGCGUGGAAUGGGAGCACUACCUCCUACAACCAAGAGCUGCAACUCUAAGAAGCAGAAUUUCUGACCAAAGAGAUCCGGCUAUAGCCGAUCAACGGACCGAGUUACCCCAGGGAUAACAGCGCAAUCCCCUUUUAGAGCCCAUAUCGACAAGGGGGUUUACGACCUCGAUGUUGGAUCAGGACAUCCUAAUGGUGCAGCCGCUAUUAAUGGUUCGUUUGUUCAACG
RNAcentral lists this ribosomal RNA (545 nucleotides) under Peprilus alepidotus (star butterfish). RNAcentral's name for it is "partial 16S large subunit ribosomal RNA". It matches the Rfam family "Bacterial large subunit ribosomal RNA", at positions 1846 to 2586 of the family's 2925-position model. The record is from RNAcentral. Lineage: Eukaryota; Metazoa; Chordata; Actinopteri; Scombriformes; Stromateidae.